GGAUGAUUGGAGCAGAGGUCAGCUCGCUGUCCUGUCACGACAGAGGUCACCGGUUCAAGCCCGGUAUCAUCCGCCA
This 76-nucleotide transfer RNA is filed under the name Deinococcus cellulosilyticus. RNAcentral describes it as "tRNA-Asp". It matches the Rfam family "tRNA". Rfam says of the family: Transfer RNA (tRNA) molecules are approximately 80 nucleotides in length. The record is from RNAcentral. RNAcentral also lists the same sequence under 2 other names. Lineage: Bacteria; Thermotogati; Deinococcota; Deinococci; Deinococcales; Deinococcaceae.